RNAcentral lists this ribosomal RNA (466 nucleotides) under uncultured bacterium. RNAcentral describes it as "partial 16S ribosomal RNA". It matches the Rfam family "Bacterial small subunit ribosomal RNA", at positions 28 to 507 of the family's 1533-position model. The record is from RNAcentral.
GACGAACGCUGGCGGCGCGCCUAACACAUGCAAGUCGAACGAGCGAGAGAGAGCUUGCUUUCUCUAGCGAGUGGCGUACGGGUGAGUAACGCGUGAGGAACCUGCCCCAAAGAGGGGGACAACAGUUGGAAACGACUGCUAAUACCGCAUAAGCCCUCGGCCCGCCUACGAGCAGGGGGAAAAGGAGCAAUACGCAUUGGGUUGGCCUCGCAACCGUUUUGCUAGUUGGUGCGGUGACGGCCCACCAUGGCGACGAACGGUAGCCGGACUGUGAGGUUGGACCGCCACAUCGGCGCUGAGACACGGCCGAGACUCCUACGCGAUGGAGGAGAGGGGGAUAGAGCAACGUGGCGGAGAUCCUGAAGGAGCGCGGCCGGGAAGAGCAAGAAGGUCGUCGGAUUGUAAACUCCUGUUGUCUGGGAAGAUAUUGACGGUACCUAACAAGGAAGCGACGGCUAACUACGUG